This 402-nucleotide ribosomal RNA is filed under the name uncultured bacterium. RNAcentral describes it as "bacterial SSU rRNA". It matches the Rfam family "Bacterial small subunit ribosomal RNA", at positions 355 to 774 of the family's 1533-position model. The record is from RNAcentral.
UGGGGAAUCUUGCGCAAUGGGCGAAAGCCUGACGCAGCCAUGCCGCGUGAAUGAUAAAGGUCUUAGGAUUGUAAAAUUCUUUCACCGGGGACGAUAAUGACGGUACCCGGAGAAGAAGCCCCGGCUAACUUCGUGCCAGCAGCCGCGGUAAUACGAAGGGGGCUAGCGUUGCUCGGAAUUACUGGGCGUAAAGGGAGCGUAGGCGGACAUUUAAGUCAGGGGUGAAAUCCCGGGGCUCAACCUCGGAAUUGCCUUUGAUACUGGGUGUCUUGAGUGUGAGAGAGGUAUGUGGAACUCCGAGUGUAGAGGUGAAAUUCGUAGAUAUUCGGAAGAACACCAUUUGCUCCUUCUCCCUACUCUCUCAUUACUGCCGCUGAGGCUCCACAGCGUGGGGAGCAAACA